UUCUACCGAGAGUAGGAAC
Molecule: small nuclear RNA, 19 nt
Filed under: Arabidopsis thaliana (thale cress)
Lineage: Eukaryota; Viridiplantae; Streptophyta; Magnoliopsida; Brassicales; Brassicaceae
Description: snRNA_13787
Source: RNAcentral